RNAcentral lists this ribosomal RNA (495 nucleotides) under uncultured bacterium. RNAcentral describes it as "partial 16S ribosomal RNA". It matches the Rfam family "Bacterial small subunit ribosomal RNA", at positions 28 to 505 of the family's 1533-position model. The record is from RNAcentral.
GAUGAACGCUGGCGGCGUGCCUAAUACAUGCAAGUCGAGCGAACAGACGAGGAGCUUGCUCCUCUGACGUUAGCGGCGGACGGGUGAGUAACACGUGGAUAACCUACCUAUAAGACUGGGAUAACUUCGGGAAACCGGAGCUAAUACCGGAUAAUAUAUUGAACCGCAUGGUUCAAUAGUGAAAGACGGUUUUGCUGUCACUUAUAGAUGGAUCCGCGCCGCAUUAGCUAGUUGGUAAGGUAACGGCUUACCAAGGCAACGAUGCGUAGCCGACCUGAGAGGGUGAUCGGCCACACUGGGACUGAGACACGGUCCAGACUCCUACGGGAGGCAGCAGUAGGGAAUCUUCCGCAAUGGGCGAAAGCCUGACGGAGCAACGCCGCGUGAGUGAUGAAGGUCUUCGGAUCGUAAAACUCUGUUAUUAGGGAAGAACAAAUGUGUAAGUAACUAUGCACGUCUUGACGGUACCUAAUCAGAAAGCCACGGCUAACUACG